UACGUAGGGUGCGAGCGUUAAUCGGAAUUACUGGGCGUAAAGCGUGCGUAGGCGGUCCGCGAAGUCUGAUGUGAAAGCCCCGGGCUCAACCUGGGAACUGCAUUGGAAGCUAACGGGCUCGAGUGUGGCAGAGGGGGGUGGAAUUCCACGUGUAGCAGUGAAAUGCGUAGAGAUGUGGAGGAACACCGAUGGCGAAGGCAGCCCCCUGGGCUAACACUGACGCUCAGGCACGAAAGCGUGGGGAGCAAACAGG
RNAcentral lists this ribosomal RNA (253 nucleotides) under uncultured bacterium. RNAcentral's name for it is "partial 16S ribosomal RNA". It matches the Rfam family "Bacterial small subunit ribosomal RNA", at positions 524 to 776 of the family's 1533-position model. The record is from RNAcentral.